AGUAGGGUCAGCUAACAAAGCUAUCGGGCCCAUACCCCGAAAAUGAUGGUUCAACUCCCUCCUCUACUA
This 69-nucleotide transfer RNA is filed under the name Aphrodroma brevirostris (Kerguelen petrel). RNAcentral describes it as "tRNA-Met". It matches the Rfam family "tRNA". From Rfam's summary of the family: Transfer RNA (tRNA) molecules are approximately 80 nucleotides in length. Their secondary structure includes four short double-helical elements and three loops (D, anti-codon, and T loops). Lineage: Eukaryota; Metazoa; Chordata; Aves; Procellariiformes; Procellariidae. The record is from RNAcentral.